Molecule: non-coding RNA, 250 nt
Organism: Podarcis lilfordi (Lilford's wall lizard)
Lineage: Eukaryota; Metazoa; Chordata; Lepidosauria; Squamata; Lacertidae
Source: the annotation of a GenBank genome assembly
CUCCUCCUUCUGGUCACGGACUCUUCUGGUUAGGUCGGCUAGCUCCGAAAAAUCCAUCAUCUUCAUCUGCCAUUCUUCUAUUGUUGGUAAUUCUUGGGUUUUCCACUUUUUAGCUAACAGAAUACGAGCAGCAGUUGUGGCAUACAAAAAUAAUUUAACAUCUUUCUUGGGCAAUUCCAAACCUGUUAUUCCAAGAAGAAAGGCCUCUGGUUUCUUUAUAAAUGUAUAGUGGCCGAGGAAACCAGGCCAG